RNAcentral lists this ribosomal RNA (200 nucleotides) under uncultured bacterium. RNAcentral describes it as "partial 16S ribosomal RNA". It matches the Rfam family "Bacterial small subunit ribosomal RNA", at positions 8 to 206 of the family's 1533-position model. The record is from RNAcentral.
AGAGUUUGAUCCUGGCUCAGAGCGAACGCUGGCGGCGUGCCUAACACAUGCAAGUCGAACGUGAAAUGGGUAACCAGAGUAAAGUGGCGUACGGGUGAGUAAUACGUAGGUAAUCUACCUGAGUGUCUGGAAUAACCUGCCGAAAGGCGGGCUAAUACUGGAUAGAGCGAUGGGAUCCGUAAUUGGGUCUUUCGGGAAAG